Ictidomys tridecemlineatus (thirteen-lined ground squirrel) is the source of this 72-nucleotide non-coding RNA. Lineage: Eukaryota; Metazoa; Chordata; Mammalia; Rodentia; Sciuridae. The record is from Rfam.
AAGGAUGUGACUCAGUGGUAGAGUGUCAGCCUGGCAUGUAUGAAGCCCUGGGUUUAAAUCCUAGCACCAUAA